This 404-nucleotide ribosomal RNA is filed under the name uncultured bacterium. RNAcentral describes it as "partial 16S ribosomal RNA". It matches the Rfam family "Bacterial small subunit ribosomal RNA", at positions 28 to 526 of the family's 1533-position model. The record is from RNAcentral.
GACGAACGCUGGCGGCGUGCCUAAUACAUGCAAGUCGAACAGUGGCGAACGGGGGAGUAACACGUGCGUAAACUGCCCUCCACCUUGGGAUAACUCCGAGAAAUCGGGGCUAAUACUGGAUAGUGGGGGAUGGGCGCGGGGCCUAUCAGUUUGUUGGUGAGGUAGUGGUUACCAAGGCGUGACGGGUAGCCGGCCUGGGAGGGCGACCGGCCACACUGGGACUGAGAGACGGCCCAGACUCCUACGGGAGGCAGUAGUGGGGAAUAUUGCACAAUGGGCGAAAGCCUGAUGCAGCGACGCCGCGUGGGGGAUGACGGCCUUCGGGUUGUAAACCUCUUUCAGCAAGGAAGCGGUACUUGCAGAAGAAGCGCCGGCUAACUACGUGCCAGCCGCCGCGGUAAUAC